This 205-nucleotide long non-coding RNA is filed under the name Capsicum annuum. Its description in RNAcentral is "long non-coding RNA (CANN_LNC020720)". The record is from RNAcentral. Lineage: Eukaryota; Viridiplantae; Streptophyta; Magnoliopsida; Solanales; Solanaceae.
AGAGUCUUUGAAAGUAAUGUCAUUGAUCCAGGAAGGAAUGAGAGAAGAUAAAGCCCAAGAAAGCACAAAGAAACCCCUGAUCACGGUGCAAGGUGCCAGAAGGUAUGUUGAUUUAAGUCAGGAUAAACCUAAGUUGAUAGUGGUAGGAGCUCCGAGUAAGCCCAUCUUGAUGGUGAAAUGAGCGCUGGCAGCGCCUAUUGUCCUC